Long non-coding RNA from Ictalurus furcatus (blue catfish), 3568 nucleotides. RefSeq lists it as uncharacterized. The record is from RefSeq and is a predicted model, not a curated record. NCBI's taxonomy places the organism in Eukaryota, Metazoa, Chordata, Actinopteri, Siluriformes, Ictaluridae. The transcript is spliced from 2 exons.
CAUCCCCAGGUAAGCCUCCAAAGCCCGCCCCGUCAACAAUGGCUCCAAAUGAUAACUCGACUCUUCCUCGGGCCACCUCCAAGUCCUUGCCAGACAUUCAAAGAAUUGAAGAUAAGUCUCAAUGUCCUCCUCCAGUUGGUAAGCAGGUGUUCUCGGUGGGUCGCUCACCAUCCUCAGCUGGCUUGAUGCUUGGCUUGCUGGUAUAUCUGUGCUGUGCACAGGUGCGGUUCUCGAAACAGCUGGCAUCGGAAGAUCCAAUCCCAAGCUCCAGCCGACACUAGGGGUCUCAGCAGAUCUGGAAGACUGCAGAAUCACCUCUCAUAACUCCCAAAUCUCUAGCAGAUGUUCCUCCUCCCGUUGCAUGUUGAGGAAGUGACGCAUCAGGCUCAGCAUUCCCUCCUUGGAUGUUGAACCCAUUGCAUCAGCCUUGACUUGCAGUGUGCGGGACUCGGAUGAAGCUCUAGGAACCACCUCCACCUUGGCAUCCUCUGCGACUCCACGGUGUCCCAAGACGUAUCCUCCUCUGCAAUCGUUUUCACCCGGGAGUGCAAACCAGCUCGGGUUCUUCUGCCUUUCAGUGCCAUCUUGCGGGUAGCCAUACCACCUCUGCCACCAAAUGUCACAAAGCGAACCUUAGGGACUGCUUUGAGUAGUGUGAGGGUUAAUUUGAGGAAAGAAAAGGAUGGCUCUCCCCACAAUAGCACUGUCAUUUUCUCCCUCAUUAUCAGUACAGUCAUUCCCCCUGCAAAUAACAAAUGGUUUCAUCAGACUUUGCGUACAGUGCACCGGCACACUGCCAACAAUGACGUUAUAUUCUGGCGCUGCUCAGUGGAUCAGUUUGGCUGGCGCAACCCUGAAGUCUAACUCCACCAGGACACGACACACAAUCACAUAAUAAAACUUAACAUAUAAACAAAAUGUAUGUGUGCAUUUUGUAUGCCUGGGAUAGAGAACUGCAGGAAGUGUAAUGUGGUGUGUGGAACUGUUCAUGGGCAAUCAGCUGCAUGUGCACCCGCUCCGCCGACUAAACGGAGGGGAAACUAAAUGGAGGGGAAGAGAGAUCAGCGUGUUAAGCGUGUGUGUGUGUGUGGUAAUGUAAGUGUGUGCGUGUUUGUGCUGUACCCAGCAGAGAUGUCUACUUUAUCACAAUACAGCUCACAGUAAUGUUAGACAUUCCCAUUACCUUUUUGAAAGUUAACGAUAACAUAGCAUUGCAACUGUUGACCAUGAUGUAAUACAGAGAGUGGGUUAACGUUAACUACAUUUAGCAAGUGUUUUGGACAAGUCGAGCUGUAGUAAUUAGCAUUGGGAGGAUGGGUUAGGGCUGUGUUUCUUCAUGUAUUCGGUGAAUGUUAAUGCAGGGUAACAGGUGCAGACAGUCAGUGGCUAAUAGAACUUUGCUAGCUCAGUAAUGUCAAGGCCAAAAGUUCUUCACAAGGUUAACGUGACAGGGGUUUAGGUUGUACUGCUUUCCACUAUCUCUGUAAUGUUGGUUGUUAAAUGUACUAACACACUGUGUUGAAAGCAACACAAAAUGUAUUGUCCUUAACUAGACAUGCAGGUGUGUUAAAAAUUAACACAAGAUUGAGUGAAGGUUUGUAUCAAUAUAUUUAUCUAUAAAACCAUUACUGUACACUAGAAAAAGCAAAAAUGUGUGAUAACACUCCAGUUUACAUAACAUUAAAUUACCGCUAUCUUCGUUAGCUUUGGCUUACUUGUUUGUAACACCCACUGGAUUAUAAAUUGGCUACUCAGUUUUUUGGAUGUUUUAAAUGUCUCCUUUGAUCAAAAUCAUUUUUGUGUUAAAUAUAUGACUUAUUGGAGUUAUUUACUGCAAAGACUAUAUAUAAACACCACUUUAGCAACUCUAGCAAUACAUUUCUGAACACCUUCUUGUGUAUAAAUAAAGAUGAUACCACGUUGAUAUUUGUUUAUAAAUGUGGUAUAUUUUACAUUUGCAAAGGGUAAAAAUAAUCUGGAAAAUAUUAACCCAUUUCUGAAAUAAAAUUAACCAAACAUUUUUGUAAAAAUGAAACUAUGCUUUACGUUGAAAAACAAUCCAUUUGCUAGGUUAAAACCAACAACCCAACUUGAUGGGAUAAGUUUAGUCCAAAAUGUGUUCUGUCCUAUACCCUGAGACCCAGAAAUUUAUUUUUAUUUUUAUUUAGUUUUUUUCUGAUAUAAAUUAAGUGUUGGGGUGGUAAUAAAUAUAUUGCAAAGGUAACAAUUUUUAAACUUAAUUUGAUUCAGAUUUUACAACAUGUCCACUUUAGUGGACAAUAGGACUUCGUUGUUCUCAUUUGGGAAAUUUUACAAAUCUGCACAUGUACAUGGAAACAGCCACUAGAUUUAUCCAGUAAAAUACAACAACUUGUAUAGAACAAACAGUAAGUGUAGAUUUUCAUUUCUUUUGUAUUGAACUUCAUCAAUUCAUCUGAACCUUUUGUGAUUUCCACAUUAGACAUCUGACUCCAGAUGGUAUUUCAUGAAGCAUUCUGAUUUUUUGGAGACACAGAGGAACAUGUUUCACUUUAUGCAUCUCACAAAUGUUUGCUUUUAUAUCCAGGCAUUCUGCAUCUGGAAGCAUUUGGAAUGUUGAGCAUUUGGGGCAUAUGGAUUGCACUAUAUUUCCUUAUACUCUCAUCUGUCUGGGGCUUUCUUUUUUUGAUCUCCAGAGAGAAUUCUCCAUCACUGGAGUCAGUGUCAUCUUGUUGAUAUGCCUGUGCCUGUGAUAUCAGUUCCUCAGCCGAAAAUAGUUUGAACUCUAAGUAUUGGGAGGUUUUCUUUGCAGGUCACUGCAAAGCCUGGCUGUCUUGUCGGUAUUGAAUCCAUGAGUUGGUGUUUGCCAAAUCAGUAAAGUGAAGCAUGGAACAAACAGUCCACUUCUUGGUGUGUCUGGACAUUCUGUAGCAGCUGAGCAUUCGAUUACAGAUGUCAAUCCCCCCCUUGUUGCUGUUAUAUUCCACUACCACUGCAGGUCUUGUGACUUGGACUUGCUUAUUUUGAUUUUUUGACCAUCUGGAACAGGUAUCCUGGGGCUCAAUUCCAUGGAUGGUUGAUACCAUAACAACAGGCUUGUUGUGCAUCCAUUUGGCUAGAUUCUUUCUAGAAGAGUCUCCAGAAGCUUGAUGGUGGUAAUAUACCGGUCAACUUACACCAGUGUUCCUCUGGGACCCGUCUCAGUCAAACGCAGGACUGCUUUUGCCCCUAUUCCCAUUUGCUGGUCUUGAAUGAAGGUGUUCUUUUCCUGGUAGAUCUCAAAAUCCAAUACAAGGGACACUUCAUCCAGCUCUGCAUUGUGGUCCACCUCAUCUAAGCCCUCUGAGCUAUCACUCUCUCCUAUGUCUCCUGUGUCAUCCUCUAUCCCUGGACUAUCAUCAUCUGAUAGAUCUAUGUCUGAAUCUCCCUCAAUUAUUCUAUUAAGAAGCCUCUCAGCCUCUGUCAAAGAACUGUGUGCAAAGAAAAUGUGAAACAAACAUAAGUACAAAGUCCUGAUGUCCACUACAGAGUACAUUUAUAAAUGAGCCGUUUGUGUUAUGAAAAUAAAUACGCUCAGUUUUGAAAACUC